GCCCGUAUGGCUUAGUGGUAAAGCGUCUCACGUCAGAUGAGAAGAUCCAUCGUUCGAUCCGGUGUAUGGGCA
Molecule: transfer RNA, 72 nt
Filed under: Eutypa lata UCREL1
Lineage: Eukaryota; Fungi; Ascomycota; Sordariomycetes; Xylariales; Diatrypaceae
Description: tRNA-Sup (TCA) (tRNA-Sup-TCA-1-1)
Rfam family: tRNA
About the family: Transfer RNA (tRNA) molecules are approximately 80 nucleotides in length. Their secondary structure includes four short double-helical elements and three loops (D, anti-codon, and T loops).
Source: RNAcentral